Rattus norvegicus (Norway rat) is the source of this 5033-nucleotide RNA transcript. It is a transcript of the gene named Zinc finger protein 16, pseudogene 1, with no coding region annotated. Lineage: Eukaryota; Metazoa; Chordata; Mammalia; Rodentia; Muridae. The record is from RefSeq and is marked validated. The transcript has 4 exons.
GGGCCGGAAGUCGGGCGGGACUUGGAGGGUCAGUUGCGGUUGAUUUGGGCAGCAGACUAUGGUAACGGGUCCCUCCUAUAAACACCGUGCCGGGUACGACUUCCCUUGAUGAGUUCACUAGACGAAGCCUCCGCCUGGGAAGCGUCAUCUGGUGUCCCCAGUGCAGCGUGGAGGCGGCGGGAUGCAGAUUCGGCUACACAGCGCGAAGCUGGUUCGAACUGGGGCAGAGUUCGAACCUCUGGAGAGUUUGUGAGGAGGCGUGUGAGGGUUUGUGCAGGAGGUGGAGACUUGACAGGCAUCACCUAUACCCAACCCCCUCAGAGUGCGUUCCGAGGAGGCAGAGGUGACGCCCUCGGCUCCUAGACCAUUUCCUUGGACUCCUGUGGUACAGGCUUGUCUGCGUGACACUCUGCUGUGGCCCACCUGGAUCUUCAGUCUGUGGGCCCCCCUGUGCUACACUGUUAAACUGGAAGCCAUCCACCCUCACCAUCAGCAGCCAGGUACUGGGAACCAUUCUCCACUGGUGUCUUCAUUCUGGAAUGAUGAUGACCGCCUCACCCGAAGCUUGUCUUUAAGGAAUCAUCUGUGUUAGGCUUCAUGCACAGACUCAAGAGGCCAGAGCUGGAUGCCAGGGACCUGACUUCUCUUAGCCCCUUGUACUGUGGAGCCAAUAGACUUUGCUGAGUGUGAUCUGAAGGAGUGGCUGAAGGGUUCUCAGAACCUUGUCCUGACCAGCGGGCAAACGGAAAGUGCGUCCUUCUGUGAAGAGUCCCAGGAAGGGCAGGCGGUCCUUGCUGGUCUUCAGCUUCUCUGCAGUUAUCAGCUAGGGGCUGCCCCAGUCCUUCCAUAAGAUGAGGUUCCCUGCUCCCACUGCUUCCUCCUCUGGAUUGCACAACCGAGGAGGAGCCGUUCUACCCCAAGGAGCACAUUUCUGAAGAUAUCUGGAAUCACAGGCAGAAAUACCAACACCCGUCUGUUGGUGAUGUUUCUCCAGCCCCUAAGUUUGGAGGGCUCUGUGAUGAACUAUUAGAAACUGACUGCAAUGUCUCUGAAGCUGACAGCCUGCUCCAGCCCCUCUACUGGUAGGGACACCUCACACCAGGGACUAUGUUCCUGAAGAGACCCUUAGGGGAGAAACGUCUGCUUUGCAAUGGUUUUGACACAAGCUUCAGCUUGAGCCCAUGUCCGCUAGUGUGUCAGGGAAUCUCUUCAGAAGAGAGGCCACGUCCACAUGACACUGCAGAGAACUCUCAGUACAAUAGGGGGCUAACUGGCCAGGAGAGCCUUCCUACAAUUGAAAGCCCACUCAUAUGUACUGAGUGUGGGAAGGCAUUCAGAGGAACCCUUGACCUUGAUCAGCAUCAGAGAGCCAACCCGGGAGAGCCAUCUUUAAUGUGUUCUGAAUGUGGAAAGGCCUUUAGCCAAAACUCUGACCUUAAAAGCCACUGUCAACCUUGCCUCCCUGGGAAAGCCUACCAGUGUGGCAAGUGUACAGAAGUCUUUGUGGGGCACACAGAUUUUGAUAGGCAUCAGGUUCAGCACCACAAUGAAUAAUAUGUGUGUAACGAAUGUGGAAAAGCCUUCAGCCAGAACUUAAGCCUUCAAAACCACCAAAAGUCUCAUGUGAUGGAGAAACCUUAUGAGUGCAAUGAGUGUGACAAGGCUUUUGGGCGGAGCUCGAGCCUCAUCCAACAUCGAAGAAUCCAUUCUGAAGAAAAACCAUACGUAUGCAGCUGGUGUGGGAGAGCCUUCAGACGGAGCUCAAACCUCCUCAAACACCACAGGAUUCACACAAGUGAAUCCUUUUGAGUGCAGCAAGUGUGGUAAAGCCUUCAGCCAGAGUGCACACCUCAGGAAGCAUCAGAGAGUUCACACCGGAGAGAAAUCUUACGAGUGUAAAGAGUGUGGCAAGUCCUUCAGACGCACCUCAAACCUCAUUAAGCAUCACCGGGUUCAUACAGGAGAGAAACCUUACUCGUGCAGUGACUGUGGGAAAGCAUUUAGCCAGAGUUCUAGCCUUAUUCAGCACCGGAGAAUUCACACUGGUGAGAAGCCUCACGUGUGCAAUGUGUGUGGGAAAGCCUUCAGUUACAGUUCUGUGCUCAGAAAGCACCAAAUAAUUCACACGGGAGAGAAGCCGUACGGGUGUGGUGUCUGUGGGAAAGCCUUCAGCCACAGCUCAGCCCUCAUCCAGCAUCAGGGUGUGCACACUGGAGACAAGCCCUACGAGUGCCACGAAUGUGGGAAGACCUUCAGUCGAAGCUCUAACCUCAUCCUGCACCAUCGAGUCCACACCGGGGAAAAACCUUAUGAAUGUACGGAAUGUGGAAAAACCUUCAGCCAGAGCUCAACCCUCAUUCAGCACCAGAGGAUUCAUAACGGACUGAAACCUCAUGAAUGUAACCAGUGUGGCAAAGCCUUCAACAGAAGUUCAAAUCUCAUUCACCACCAGAAAGUACACACUGGGGAGAGGCCCUACACGUGUGUUGAAUGUGGCAAAGGCUUCAGCCAGAGCUCACAUCUCAUUCAACACCAGAUAAUCCACACUAGAGAGAGGCCCUAUCAGUGCAGCGAGUGUGGCCGAGCCUUCGGUCAGCGUUCCGUCCUUACCCAGCACCAGAGGACUCACACUGGAGUGAAGCCCCACGCCUGCUCGGCGUGUGGAAAGACUUUCAGCCAGCCGUCCAAGUUGGCUAAACACGAGCUGACUCAUAAGGAGCAGCCUGGAGACUGGGAGGGGUGAAGCUCCAUUCCUCUGUUCUUCUGACCCUGGUUUCAGCCGCCCCACUCCCAGCUGUGUGGCCAGUUCACUGAUUACUGUGUCCAGCUGUCACAGAACCUGGGGCCUCCCUUGGAUCACCCUUCAGGGCUCCCCUGCUGUUGUGGCCACCUCGUGUGGCCUCUCAUCUGCAUUUUGUUGUUCUUAUGGUUUGGAAACAGACUUGUGUUAGUCAGAAGGAAAAGAUGACGAAGGCUUCAUGAUCGGAGUUUAUUAUCGUAAUCAAAGGGUGUGAAAAUUGGUGAUGCGACCUUUGUGACGAGAAAAACCUCACAGAGUCUGCUGUUGUUGUUGUUUAGCCUCAGUUAUAGGGAGUGAGUUGGGAUUCAGUGUCGUUGAGUUUGUUUACCUGAGGACUGGGUGAGGGGUUUUCGCAUCCAUUUGCCGUCUUCCCAGGGGUUAUACUGCAGUUGCUGUUCCGUCCCACCUGAUGUCUUAUACCAGAGCUUCCUGUAGUCCUGUGUUCACUCAUCUUGAGCCAGGUUAGUCUCCUCCUCACCGCUCUCUGAGCCCAGGCCUCCAGCUGCUGUGUCUCUGGGGCAGGACCCCAGAAGCACUCUCCUCAGCACAUCUCUGCAGGUUCUGGCCACCUUUUCACAGUGUGGCCAUCAUCAGUCAGAGCACUCCCUGUUCCGUCUCAGGCAGUGCAGAUAUCCAGAACUGAGCUCACACUGGUCUACAGGAGGAUUUCUGGCACUGAGAAGAAAGCCAGCAUUCUUCCUAGCUCUCUCACUUCCUAGCCCUGGCUGCUGCGCUCUCUCUCUCUCUCUCUCUCUCUCUCUCUCUCUCUCUCUCUCUCUCUCUCUCUCUCUCUCUCAGCUCUGCACUGCUCCAGAUGUCUUUCUUCCGCACGAUUACAUCCUUAUCCCUAGUGAAGGAGCUGCCAUGUUGGCAGUUCCUUUACUGUGCCCUUUCCUUUACAUCUGAUGCCGAAGCCCUGCUCAAACUGGACUACAGAAAGAUUCCUGGAUAUUUAAACUGCCCAAACCCCAAAACUGUCUAGGUGCGCGCACACACACACACACACACAGUACCAGCUCACUAACCUCUUAGUUUUCCCAGAGCUGUGCCCCUAGGCUCUGAACAGGAGAAAGCUCGGGUACAGCAUACCUGUCCCCAGCAAGGUCCCUAGGUACCAGCUACUAGGUAGACAUAAGAGCGUAGACCAAAGUCAGCCUCUGUCAGUAAGUAAACCUUUGUCGCCCAUGCCCGUUUGCUCGCAAAUAUCCGGCAGCUUUUGCAUGUCAGAAUUAAGUGUCACCACAGAUACCCUGUGCUCUGAAACGCUGGAGCAUUUACAUUGUGGCCCUUUCAAUGAUGUUCCUAGCUUUGCCCCAGGAUGCCGCCCUCAGCAUAGGGUGCAUUACCUGCUAGCAUAGCAGGCUCUCAGGGUUAAGUUGUGAAGAGCGGCUCAGACUCCUGCAGGAACUGAACCAUUCUGUGACUAGAAACCUCAGUAUGUGGUGUGCUUGCCUGAGAACAGUGGAUGGGUCCUGCUCUGAGCCAUGAAGGCACCGCCACACGGUAUUGCUCUCUUCCUGCCCCUUCCUUGGCACAGUACAUUUUCUAGAGAAGUAAGACCUUGAAUGGACAUGAGCUCUUCAUGUCGUAAAACUUACGAAGGCAGAGUGGGCCUGGUACGUGCAUACUUCCCUAGCUCCAUGUUCAUUUGCAGACUAUUAGAAUCUCAGAAUCACAAGGAGAGCCAAACAUCAAGGAAAGGCUCCGGACAUGCAUGGAACUGUCUAUAUGGUUGGGAAUCCCACCAUCAGGCCAGGGUCAGCGUCAGCUUCUCUGUUUAACCUCGCUUUGGUGUGGUGUCCAGUACAGCUGCAGUCACCAUUGUCACUGGCUGCUGUCCACUGAUGGGAGACUGCAAGACAUGGGCCCUAUACAGAAAGGCAGCAAACUCUCAGGGCUUCCCGUGACGUUUGGAGUAAUUGAAGGUGUCCACUAUGGCUGUCGUGAUUGUAUUGUAAUUUUUGUAAUUUUACACAGAGAACUGUGUAUGCAGACACAUUCAGAGAUCCCCUUUAAAGUUUGUUGGGGGUUUUUUUUGUUUUGUUUUUUAAAUCGUGUCCUUCUAUAGACAGUUUUGUUUCGGUUUGGUUUUGGGUUUUUGUUUUUGUCUGAGCAACACGAUGGUACAGUGUUAGUCAGCAAGCGGCUGUUCAUGGCAUACUUUAAUCUCUAAACUUUAUUAUUAUUUGGACAGUUUUUUCAGUGCUUUUCUAUGUAAAAAACAGAAAUAUUU